GUCCAGACUCCUACGGGAGGCAGCAGUGGGGAAUAUUGCACAAUGGGCGAAAGCCUGAUGCAGCAACGCCGCGUGAAGGAAGAAGGGUUUCGGCUCGUAAACUUCUAUCAACAGGGACGAAAGAAAUGACGGUACCUGAAUAAGAAGCCCCGGCUAACUACGUGCCAGCAGCCGCGGUAAUACGUAGGGGGCUAGCGUUAUCCGGAAUUACUGGGCGUAAAGGGUGCGUAGGUGGUUUCUUAAGUCAGAGGUGAAAGGCUACGGCUCAACCGUAGUAAGCCUUUGAAACUGGGGAACUUGAGUGCAGGAGAGGAGAGUGGAAUUCCUAGUGUAGCGGUGAAAUGCGUAGAUAUUAGGAGGAACACCAGUUGCGAAGGCGGCUCUCUGGACUGUAACUGACACUGAGGCACGAAAGCGUGGGGAGCAAACAGGAUUAGAUACCCUAGUA
RNAcentral lists this ribosomal RNA (448 nucleotides) under uncultured bacterium. RNAcentral's name for it is "partial 16S ribosomal RNA". It matches the Rfam family "Bacterial small subunit ribosomal RNA", at positions 329 to 792 of the family's 1533-position model. The record is from RNAcentral.